AGUGCUAGCUCACCUGUCUCUAGGUUCCCUCCUAAAGCCUGGCCUGCUGGGAAGGCCCAAAGGCACACAAGGUGGCUGGUUGUACACACAGCCUCCAUCUUCAUCCUCAUCCUCAUCCUCCAUCUUCCAUCCUCUGUCCUCAUCCUCAUCCUCCAUCCUCAUCCUCCAUCCUCAUCCUCCAUCCUCCAUCCUCAUCCUCCAUCCUCAUCCUCAUCCUCAUCCUCAUCCUCCAUCCUCAUCCUCAUCCUCAUCCUCCAUCCUCAUCCUCCAUCCUCAUCCUCCAUCCUCAUCCUCAUCCUCAUCCUCAUCCUCCAUCCUCAUCCUCACCUCAUCCUCAUCCUCCAUCCUCAUCCUCAUCCUCCAUCCUCAUCCUCCAUCCUCAUCCUCCAUCCUCAUCCUCAUCCUCCAUCCUCAUCCUCAUCCUCAUCCUCAUCCUCCAUCCUCAUCCUCAUCCUCCAUCCUCAUCCUCCAUCCUCAUCCUCAUCCUCAUCCUCAUCCUCCAUCCUCAUCCUCACCUCAUCCUCAUCCUCCAUCCUCAUCCUCAUCCUCCAUCCUCAUCCUCCAUCCUCAUCCUCCAUCCUCAUCCUCAUCCUCCAUCCUCAUCCUCAUCCUCAUCCUCAUCCUCCAUCCUCAUCCUCAUCCUCAUCCUCCAUCCUCAUCCUCCAUCCUCAUCCAUCCUCAUCCUCAUCCUCAUCCUCUAUCCUCAUCCUCACCUCAUCCUCAUCCUCCAUCCUCAUCCUCAUCCUCAUCCUCAUCCUCCAUCCUCAUCCUCAUCCUCCAUCCUCAUCCUCCAUCCUCAUCCUUCUUCCUCAUCCUCCAUCCUCAUCCUCCAUCCUCAUCCUCAUCCUCAUCCUCCAUCCUCAUCCUCCAUCCUCAUCCUCAUCCUCCAUCCUCAUCCUCAUCCUCAUCCUCCAUCCUCAUCCUCAUCCUCAUCCUCCAUCCUCAUCCUCAUCCUCCAUCCUCAUCCUCCAUCCUCAUCCUCAUCCUCAUCCUCCAUCUUCAUCCUCCAUCCUCAUCCUCAUCCUCAUCCUCAUCCUCCAUCCUCAUCCUCCAUCCUCAU
This 1060-nucleotide long non-coding RNA is filed under the name Castor canadensis (American beaver). Its description in RNAcentral is "lncRNA (ENSCCNG00000019358.1)". Lineage: Eukaryota; Metazoa; Chordata; Mammalia; Rodentia; Castoridae. The record is from RNAcentral.